UACAGAGGGGGCAAGCGUUAUUCGGAAUUAUUGGGCGUAAAGGGCGCGUAGGCGGCUUUGCAAGUGACGGGUGAAAUCCCUCGGCUUAACCGAGGAACUGCCUGUCAGACUGCAUGGCUUGAGACCGGGAGAGGUGAGUGGAAUUCCCAGUGUAGCGGUGAAAAUGCGUAGAUAUUGGGAGGAACACCAGUGGCGAAGGCGGCUCACUGGACCGGAACUGACGCUGAGGCGGCGAAAGCGUGGGGAGCAAACAGG
Molecule: ribosomal RNA, 255 nt
Filed under: uncultured bacterium
Lineage: Bacteria
Description: partial 16S ribosomal RNA
Rfam family: Bacterial small subunit ribosomal RNA
Source: RNAcentral